AUCCUCUAAUUAUAUUACGACUAGUCUACCCCUGAGUCCAGGUUGCACAGAGGAGUCAGCAUAGCACUAUUAGGAAAAUGACAUAAAUAUGGAUCCACAACCAGCAGACCACUGGCUUCCAGUUGAGGCUCGCAUUCACUACAAGACCAUGGUACUUGCCUACUUUCAGGCUAUGCUCAAACCCUACACCCCAACCCGAAAACUCCGUUCUGCCAUCUCUGGUCUCUUGGCCCUCCCACCCCUACCUGAGGGCAGCUCCCACUUUGCAGAGUCCAAUUUCUUCAAUGUCCUGGCACCCCAAUAGUGGAACAAGCUUCCGACUGAAGCUAGGACAGCAUAGUCCCUGCCCAUCUUCCCGAAAAAACAUCUGAAACCCUACCUCUUCAAAGUAUCUUAAAUAAUCCCACAGGACCCACCACACCACCUCCUCUGGCAAAGCUGAUCGUUUUCUAUGGCUGAGAUCCUCAGGCCCAGCUCAUUCAGCUUGAUCUUUGUCUCUUCCACAAUGCGUUACAG
This is a long non-coding RNA of Oncorhynchus masou masou (cherry salmon), 516 nucleotides long. RefSeq lists it as uncharacterized. The transcript has 3 exons. Lineage: Eukaryota; Metazoa; Chordata; Actinopteri; Salmoniformes; Salmonidae. The record is from RefSeq and is a predicted model, not a curated record.